RNAcentral lists this transfer RNA (85 nucleotides) under Treponema sp. RNAcentral's name for it is "tRNA-Ser". It matches the Rfam family "tRNA". From Rfam's summary of the family: Transfer RNA (tRNA) molecules are approximately 80 nucleotides in length. Their secondary structure includes four short double-helical elements and three loops (D, anti-codon, and T loops). Lineage: Bacteria; Pseudomonadati; Spirochaetota; Spirochaetia; Treponematales; Treponemataceae. The record is from RNAcentral. RNAcentral also lists the same sequence under 1 other name.
GGAGAGAUGCGAGAGUGGUUGAAUCGGGCGGUCUCGAAAACCGUUGUACCGCAAGGUACCGGGGGUUCGAAUCCCCCUCUCUCCG